UAAAGGGUUGUCUUCUUUAGGGUUGUCUUCUNUAGUUCGUCUUCUUUAGGGGAACCAAAGGGGAAGAACCAAAGUCUUCCCCUAAAGGGGAACCCCUUCUUCCCCGUUAGUUCCCCCUAAAGGGGAAGAAGAACACUAAAGUUCCCCUUUAGGGGAUGAUGAACUAAAGGGGAUGGGGAACAAAGAAGACAGACAACCCUUUGGUAACCCAAAGGGGACAACCCAAAGGGGUUCCCCUUUAGGGGAAGACAACCCUUUGGUUCAUCCCCUAAAGUUCUUCCCCUUUAGGGGAAGAAGAACUAAAGGGGAGCCCAAAGAAGAUGACAACCCUUUGGUUCCCCUUUAGGGGACGAUGACGAAGUAUGAAAAGCUAGGUGAACUGCACCAGUACGUUGUGGCCUACGGCCGUUAGGUGAUCGUAGACGUUUUUUAUCCCCCUUCGGGGAAAGAGCUUCGCCCGUUGUUGUGAGGAACGUGUGCGCUCGGUUAAGUUAGGUGCACUGCACCGACAAGCGAAAGGUAGAUUUAGUUAUUUUAUUCUGGGCCUCCGUCCCUUCGUUAGAUUUGUUACACAGUAACAUAAAAAUUUCCAAACUAAGCACAACACAAGCGCGUCCCCCGAAGGGGAACCUUUGGUUAUCCCCCUUCGGAAACCCUUUGGUUUAUCCCCUAAAGUUCAUCCCCGAAGGGGAACCCCUUCGUCUUCUUCCCCGAAGGGGACCCCUACGUCAUCCCCGAAGGGUAACCCCUUUGGUUCUUCCCCAUAGUCUCCCCAAAGUCUCCCCGAAGAAGAGACUUUGGGGGAUCCCCUUUAGAGUCGACNNNNNNNNNNNNNNNNNNNNNNNNNNNNNNNNNNNNNNNNNNNNNNNNNNUCUUCCCCUAAAGGGGAACCCCUUCGUCAUCGUCCCCUAAAGGGGAAGAGCACUAAAGUGUUCUUCUUCUUCCCCUAAAGGGGAACUAAAGUUCCCCUAAAGGGGAUGAACUAAAGGGGAACCCCUUUAGUUCCCCUUUAGGGGAUGAACUAAAGGGGAAGACGACAUCCCCGAAGGGGGAACAUCAUCGUCUUCCCCUUUGGGGAACCCCUUCGUUUUCACUAAAGGGUUGUCUUCUUUAGGGUUGUCUUCUUUAGUUCGUCUUCUUUAGGGGAACCAAAGGGGAAGAACCAAAGUCUUCCCCUAAAGGGGAACCCCUUCUUCCCCGUUAGUUCCCCCUAAAGGGGAAGAAGAACACUAAAGUUCCCCUUUAGGGGAUGAUGAACUAAAGGGGAUGGGGAACAAAGAAGACAGACAACCCUUUGGUAACCCAAAGGGGACAACCCAAAGGGGUUCCCCUUUAGGGGAAGACAACCCUUUGGUUCAUCCCCUAAAGUUCUUCCCCUUUAGGGGAAGAAGAACUAAAGGGGAGCCCAAAGAAGAUGACAACCCUUUGGUUCCCCUUUAGGGGACGAUGACGAAGUAUGAAAAGCUAGGUGAACUGCACCAGUACGUUGUGGCCUACGGCCGUUAGGUGAUCGUAGACGUUUUUUAUCCCCCUUCGGGGAAAGAGCUUCGCCCGUUGUUGUGAGGAACNGUGUGCGCUCGGUUAAGUUAGGUGCACUGCACCGACAAGCGAAAGGUAGAUUUAGUUAUUUUAUUCUGGGCCU
RNAcentral lists this long non-coding RNA (1642 nucleotides) under Volvox carteri. RNAcentral describes it as "long non-coding RNA (VCAR_LNC004299)". The record is from RNAcentral. Lineage: Eukaryota; Viridiplantae; Chlorophyta; Chlorophyceae; Chlamydomonadales; Volvocaceae.